CUAAAUGCGGAAGAGAUAAGUGCUGAAAGCAUCUAAGCACGAAACUUGCCCCGAGAUGAGUUCUCCCUGACUCCUUGAGAGUCCUGAAGGAACGUUGAAGACGACGACGUUGAUAGGCCGGGUGUGUAAGCGCAGCGAUGCGUUGAGCUAACCGGUACUAAUGAACCGUGAGGCUUAACCUUACAACGCCGAAGGUGUUU
Molecule: ribosomal RNA, 200 nt
Filed under: Escherichia coli
Lineage: Bacteria; Pseudomonadati; Pseudomonadota; Gammaproteobacteria; Enterobacterales; Enterobacteriaceae
Description: partial 23S ribosomal RNA
Rfam family: Bacterial large subunit ribosomal RNA
Source: RNAcentral